CCUACGGGAGGCAGCAGGGGGGAAUAUUGGACAAUGGGCGCAAGCCUGAUCCAGCCAUGCCGCGUGAGUGAUGAAGGCCCUAGGGUUGUAAAGCUCUUUCACCGGUGAAGAUAAUGACGGUACCCGUAGAAGAAGCCCCGGCUAACUUCGUGCCAGCAGCCGCGGUAAUACGAAGGGGGCUAGCGUUGUUCGGAAUUACUGGGCGUAAAGCGUACGUAGGCGGAUUAGAAAGCUUGGGGUGAAAUCCCAGGGCUCAACCCUGGAACUGCCUCCCAAACUCCUAAUCUAGAGUUCGAGAGAGGUGAGUGGAAUUCCGAGUGUAGAGGUGAAAUUCGUAGAUAUUCGGAGGAACACCAGUGGCGAAGGCGGCUYACUGGMYCRMWACUGACGCUGAGGURCGAAAGCGUGGGG
RNAcentral lists this ribosomal RNA (411 nucleotides) under uncultured bacterium. RNAcentral describes it as "bacterial SSU rRNA". It matches the Rfam family "Bacterial small subunit ribosomal RNA", at positions 338 to 766 of the family's 1533-position model. The record is from RNAcentral.